Molecule: ribosomal RNA, 469 nt
Filed under: uncultured bacterium
Lineage: Bacteria
Description: bacterial SSU rRNA
Rfam family: Bacterial small subunit ribosomal RNA
Source: RNAcentral
CGCUGGCGGCAUGCUUUACACAUGCAAGUCGAACGGCAGCACGGGGGCAACCCUGGUGGCGAGUGGCGAACGGGUGAGUAAUAUAUCGGAACGUACCCAGGAGUGGGGGAUAACGUAGCGAAAGUUACGCUAAUACCGCAUACGACCUACGGGUGAAAGUGGGGGACCGCAAGGCCUCAUGCUCAUGGAGCGGCCGAUAUCUGAUUAGCUAGUUGGUGGGGUAAAGGCUCACCAAGGCAACGAUCAGUAGCUGGUCUGAGAGGAUGACCAGCCACACUGGAACUGAGACACGGUCCAGACUCCUACGGGAGGCAGCAGUGGGGAAUUUUGGACAAUGGGGGCAACCCUGAUCCAGCAAUGCCGCGUGAGUGAAGAAGGCCUUCGGGUUGUAAAGCUCUUUUGUCAGGGAAGAAACGACCCCUUCUAAUACAGGGGGUUAAUGACGGUACCUGAAGAAUAAGCACCGGCU